This 465-nucleotide ribosomal RNA is filed under the name uncultured bacterium. RNAcentral describes it as "partial 16S ribosomal RNA". It matches the Rfam family "Bacterial small subunit ribosomal RNA", at positions 338 to 795 of the family's 1533-position model. The record is from RNAcentral.
CCUACGGGGGGCAGCAGUGGGGAAUAUUGCGCAAUGGGCGAAAGCCUGACGCAGCGACGCAGCGUGAGGGAUGAAGGUCUUCGGAUCGUAAACCUCUGUCAGCAGGGAAGAACGGUCACUGUGCUAAUCAGCAGUGAAUUGACGGUACCUGCAAAGGAAGCACCGGCUAACUCCGUGCCAGCAGCCGCGGUAAUACGAAGGUUGCGAGCGUUAACCGGAAUUACUGGGCGUAAAGCGCUCGUAGGCGGUAUGUCAAGUCAAGGGUGAAAUCCCCGCGCUCAACGUGGGAACUGCCUUUGAAACUGGCAAACUUGAGUGUGUGAGAGGAUAGUGGAAUUGCAGGUGUAGGAGUGAAAUCCGUAGAUAUCUGGAGGAACAUCAGUGGCGAAGGCGACUAUCUGGCACAUAACUGACGCUGAGGAGCGAAAGCGUGGGUAGCAAACAGGAUUAGAUACCCUAGUAGUC